This 402-nucleotide ribosomal RNA is filed under the name uncultured bacterium. RNAcentral's name for it is "bacterial SSU rRNA". It matches the Rfam family "Bacterial small subunit ribosomal RNA", at positions 355 to 774 of the family's 1533-position model. The record is from RNAcentral. RNAcentral also lists the same sequence under 1 other name.
UGGGGAAUAUUGGGCAAUGGGCGAAAGCCUGACCCAGCAACGCCGCGUGAAGGAAGAAGGUUUUCGGAUCGUAAACUUCUAUCCUUGGUGAAGAUAAUGACGGUAGCCAAGAAGGAAGCCCCGGCUAACUACGUGCCAGCAGCCGCGGUAAUACGUAGGGGGCAAGCGUUGUCCGGAAUGAUUGGGCGUAAAGGGCGCGUAGGCGGCCUGGUAAGUCUGGAGUGAAAGUCCUGCUUUUAAGGUGGGAAUUGCUUUGGAUACUGUCGGGCUUGAGUGCAGGAGAGGUAAGUGGAAUUCCCGGUGUAGCGGUGAAAUGCGUAGAGAUCGGGAGGAACACCAGUGGCGAAGGCGACUUACUGGACUGUAACUGACGCUGAGGCGCGAAAGUGUGGGGAGCAAACA